AGCUUUGCACAGUGGCAGUAUCAUAGCCAAUGAGGUUUAUCCGAGGCACAAUUAUUGCUGAUUGAAAACAUUUCCCAAUACCCUGCCAUGAAGACUUGCAAUAUAGUUGGCAUUAGCCAUUUUUGACAGUCUCUACAGAGA
Molecule: small nuclear RNA, 141 nt
Organism: Cercocebus atys (sooty mangabey)
Lineage: Eukaryota; Metazoa; Chordata; Mammalia; Primates; Cercopithecidae
Gene: U4
Rfam family: U4 spliceosomal RNA
About the family: U4 small nuclear RNA (U4 snRNA) is a component of the major U2-dependent spliceosome. The structure of U4 snRNA from yeast and human has been reported. U4 snRNA presents a k-turn RNA motif in the 5p-SL related to recognition of Snu13 protein.
Source: Ensembl